Manacus vitellinus (golden-collared manakin) is the source of this 723-nucleotide long non-coding RNA. RefSeq lists it as uncharacterized. The transcript has 4 exons. The record is from RefSeq and is a predicted model, not a curated record. Lineage: Eukaryota; Metazoa; Chordata; Aves; Passeriformes; Pipridae.
GUGAUCUAUACAAAAAGUAAAGGGCAUGAUUUUGUUUACUUCAGCUUUUUUGUUUACUUCAUGCAAGUUGUUCCUCAUAAGUUAGUGCAGGGCUCACAAAGUUAAAUGAAUUGUUACAUGGUAGCUGCUCCAAAGUCUUACAGCUUUGUUCCUGCAGUUUGUUUUGCUUCUGUGGAGGUAGAGAAUGGCUGGAAUGACCACUGGGGAGUUACUUAUGCAUAUAUUCACAUGGCUGAUCUUGUAGAUCUGAUUUUAGUAUUUCUAACUGAACUUUUCUUGUGAGGUAGUUGUUUUAAACAACUUGUAUAAAUAAAGGUAUGACUCCCUGAACUGCGAAGUUGAGCAGCUUAUGAUAGAGGAAGACAUCAGGCAGCAGGAAGGAAGGAGGAAGGGUUGUAUUAGGGCCGUUGUAUAUGACUCAUAGAAAUGGCUACAGUAACUCCUGGUUGCUUGGAAGGUAUAUAACCCAGAAGAAAAGAUCUUGAAAUCAGAGAGUGCACAGCAACUUCUGAGAAGAGAUUAUAUAAAGUGGGCCAAAGGGAAAUGUGUACUUCUGCCUCCCAUCUCUCAUCCCCAGACUCCUGCACUCGCUUAAGCUGCUGGUGAAGGGCUGCAAGGGUGGGUUUAGUGAUGUCCUGAAAGAGCAGCUGCUGGAAGGCACUCAGAGCUCAUCUGUCAAAAUCCAGAAAUUUGUAGGGAAUAUUUGCGUGUUGUGACCUGUCU